GUUUGACAGUUCUGCUGAUCGAUGUGGUAUCAACUGUGAUUUAAGGUUAUAAAGACGGUCACGUUGAUCAAUGAAAUACAGAUUGCGGAAGAAAUCAGUUACUCUUGUUUAAUGUGGCUUGUUACCUGCAAAUAUCAUUACUAUGGUUCAUACAUCGACGAGGGAAGUUGAAAGAAGGCAGUGGGGGCUGGUCA
This is a long non-coding RNA of Dreissena polymorpha, 194 nucleotides long. RefSeq lists it as uncharacterized. The record is from RefSeq and is a predicted model, not a curated record. The transcript has 3 exons. Lineage: Eukaryota; Metazoa; Mollusca; Bivalvia; Myida; Dreissenidae.